AUUGCAUUUAAGUGGAUCUAAUCAGACUGCUUAAUAAACGAUAAUAACAAUAACUUAAACCAGGGGGUAUGGCAAUUGUUAUUAAAAACCAAAGAUUUUUCUUAUAGUUGUGAUCAUAUAUCUGAGCAUGCGUGUGCAUGUCCUGUUUUCCAUGACUAAUAGUAGAAGUUGAUCACUCAGCUUACCAACAAAUUAAAUUCUCAAAAGA
Molecule: unclassified non-coding RNA, 208 nt
Filed under: Hevea brasiliensis (rubber tree)
Lineage: Eukaryota; Viridiplantae; Streptophyta; Magnoliopsida; Malpighiales; Euphorbiaceae
Source: RNAcentral